Molecule: non-coding RNA, 3329 nt
Organism: Podarcis lilfordi (Lilford's wall lizard)
Lineage: Eukaryota; Metazoa; Chordata; Lepidosauria; Squamata; Lacertidae
Source: the annotation of a GenBank genome assembly
AGACUUGCUGGAAGAACUGAACUGAAAGGACGUGUUUUUCUCUAGUGCUGUAAUGUCAGAAAUAAACAUCAUGUAAAUAGAUUUCUGACUUAUUUUCUUUCCCCUGCGGAAGCAGGAGGGAGGGGUUGUGCAUUUUACCCACGCUUGGGAAAAUGUCGCCUAUCAAAAUCUCCCUGGUCUGUCCGGGAAGUCAGCCAGAGGAGGUUACCGGUAUGCAAGCUCCGAGGACAGUGAGAGGGGCCAGCCUUUGUGGAGGGGGCUUGCAAACCGACAAGGGUAGCAGAGCCCGAUGGUUGCAACAACAAGACAGCUGAGCACCAGGUGGGAGACUUUUUUUGCUGAUAAGCAGCGAUCCACGCACCUCUGCGAUGCUGAUUUAUGGCUGGAUGGUGAACGCGAAUUGAAAAGUCUUCAGUUCCCUGAGAAAAAAAGCUCCUGUUUUGGAUAAAACAGAGCAGAGAGAAGCCACAUACUUAGCAUUCCAGAGCUGAUAAGAAGUUCCGUUGCUAAGCGACAGGUCGUGAGUACUUUUUGAGCUAAAUUUAUGAGCUGGUUAGCUUAAAGAGCAAAGAGAGAAAAGAAGUUAUCAGAAACGAAAGCAAGGCUGAGUGUUUGUCAGCGACGCUUGUUGUAAACAAACUGUUGGAAAGGGACUUUCCAAAGCAGCUUGCUGAUUGCUGUUGGAUUGCAGCGAAGGCUUAUUGUUUACAGACUCUGUGGAAGGGAAAAUUCCAGGCAGCUGGGCUGACUGCCAAGUGCAAGCAGCUUGUAAACAGCCCAAUAGACUUUUGGAUUUUCCAGCUUGUAGCUGAAGCUGCAGCUUGGGAUUAAAGAUGGCUCUGUUCUCUCAGAAACUGAAUAGCCAAAACUGGCUAGAAUGGUCAUUUGCAAUGGAAUUCUUGCUGGUGGGAGAGCAAUUAUGGGACUGAGUCCAGACCCCACAGCCUGUUGCUGUACAAGCACAGGGGGAGAAGGCUGCAGUUCAAAGUGAACUGAAGCAGCGUGUAAUGAGAAUUUUGGCGGAAAAUGUGGAUGCUUAUCUUGAGCCAGUCCUAAAGGGUGCAGAAGAACCAAGCUUGUGAAGCUGGGGUGGGAAGCAAGGACCGAGAAUUGGUUGCGCCAAAGGGGGAGAGCCAAGAUGAAGCUAGCCAAAUUCUUGAGAGCUCAUCGAAAGCUGGGAGGAGCUUUGAGCCACAACAAGGAAGUGAAGGGACUGUUGCUGCUGUUGCUGUUGAUGAUCCUAGCACUGCUGCAAUGGCUGUUGCUGAUGGGGGGAGUGAAGCUCAGAAAUCAAGCACCCCCACUACUAUUGCUACAGAGGAGAAAGCUGUAACUCAGAAUGCUGUUCGUCAGGAGACACCACGUCAGGAGAAAGGAGCUAGAGGGAGCUCUGUAAAGCCUGAGGCGUCAAGCAAAGGUCGUACCCAGUCCCAGGCAAAGCCAGAUAUGGCUUUAAUGUCACUAAAAGCCACAUCAUCCGUGGAGAACUCAUUUAUUGUAGACACAGGAUAUACGCAACACAUGACAUCACACCGAGAACUGUUUUCUACGUUCGAGAAGCAACGCUUCACUGUGAAAUUGGCCAAUGGUCAGGAAAUGGAAGCAACCAGGAUCGGAACUGUGUAUCUAGAAAGCCUGAACUUGACUAUAAACAAUGUUUAUUUUGUUCCUGAUUUAAAGUACAAUUUGCUGAGUGUUUCUCAAAUAACUAAGAAGAAACUGGUGUUAUCCUAUGAUGAGGAAAGCUGCAAAAUCUACAAAGAUGGAGAGCUGUAUCUUUCUGCCAGAGAGAAAGAUGGACUGUAUCUGUUAACAUUUGAUGAAAGUGAUUAUAAAAUGUGUACAGCAUGUGAAUCUAAAAUGCUUUCUCUUGCAGGUAUCUCGAAAGAAGACACGAGAGGAAAGGCAACAAAGAUUAACAAAGUUUUUCAGCGAGUGUAUGCUGAUGUAAUUGGUCCUUUAGCACCAUCUAGAGGCAAUGCAAAAUACUAUCUUGUAUUUGUUGAUCAUUUUUCUCAAUAUGUAUGGAUUUACAUUUUGCAGAAUCCCAGAGAAACCUUAGAAAGGUUUAAGGAGUUUUGUGAUAAGGUUAAGAAUGUUCAUGAUGCUAAUAUUGAUUUUCUUUUCACAGAUGAGAAGCCAAUUUUUCUUUCACAGGAUUUUCAGGGUUUCCUUGAGAAGCAAGGGAUAGAGCACAAGGUUGCUGUUUCUGAAGCUGCAUGGAACAAAACUGUUUGUGUAAAAGUGAACAGAGUGUUGCAAAAUGGCAUGAAGGCACAAUUGCUGAGUUCACACUUGCCACAUGAGUAUUGGGCUGAAUCUUUAUCAUGUUUUUGUUACACUUGGGUGAGAAAGGUUUCAAAAGGUAUGGAAUGUUCUCCUUUUGAGAAGCUGUUCCACAGAAAACCUUCUGUCACGCAUAUUAAAGUUUUUGGAUCUCAAAUCAGGACUGAAACUCCAGAAGGGGUGAAGAAUGCCAAAGGCAUGUUUGUGGGUUAUGAAAAGGGUCUCUACAGAGUAAUUUUGUCUGAAUCUGGUCAGGUGAUUCUCACAAAAUUUCUAGAAAGCUCAGAGAGUUCUGUUGACCCAGUUAUUGAGAAAGGUUCACACACAAAAGCUAGAUCUUCACAGGUUAAGGAUGAACCACUGUUUACUAUUGGAACUGGUUCUCCGAAAAGUCCUGAGACUGAACCAGUCAGCAAGGAGGAUCAGCACCCCAUACGCAGGUCUGAGAGAAUAACAAAGGGCGUACCACCCAAGAGGUAUUCUCAAGAGUUUGCUAGUUCAGCUGUUGCAUGUAUUACUAUUGCUGACAACUCAAGCCAGGUUAAGGGUAUGUCUAAGUCAGAGACAAAGACACAACAGGGAGUUGCUAAGCGUAACACUACAUUCCCUAACCAAGGUAAUGCAGAAGCACUCAUUCCUUGGAAAACAGACAACCAGAGAGUUACAUUGGUGAAACCAGUGGCGGGUAGUUCCAAGGGUGGAACUGAAACAACAGGGGAUUGUUACAUGUAUAACAACUGUUUGUUUUCUUCUCUGGAUCAAGCUUUGUCCGCAGCUAACGAUGAUUCAUAUGGGGGAGGAUGUCAGUAUAUGGAAACAUCACCGCUGCAGACAGCCAGAUUGUUGACAUCACAUGAUGUGCCUAUCUGUGAGAAAGAAGAAUUUCCCAGGACGUUUACAGGCUGGAUAAGUCUUUGUGAAGAGUGUAACUUGAAACCUUCCGACUGCGCAUGUUCAGGAAGUUUGUCAGACUUGCUGGAAGAACUGAACUGAAAGGAUCGUGUUUUUCUCUAGUGCUGUAAUGUCAGAAAUAAACAUCAUGU